RNAcentral lists this ribosomal RNA (253 nucleotides) under uncultured bacterium. RNAcentral describes it as "partial 16S ribosomal RNA". It matches the Rfam family "Bacterial small subunit ribosomal RNA", at positions 524 to 776 of the family's 1533-position model. The record is from RNAcentral.
UACGUAGGGGGCAAGCGUUAUCCGGAUUUACUGGGUGUAAAGGGAGCGUAGACGGCUUUGCAAGCCAGAUGUGAAAGCCCGGGGCUCAACCCCGGGACUGCAUUUGGAACUGUGUGGCUAGGGUGUCGGAGAGGCAGGCGGAAUUCCUAGUGUAGCGGUGAAAUGCGUAGAUAUACGGAGGAACACCAGUGGCGAAGGCGGAUUGCUGGACAGUAACUGACGCUGAGGCGCGAAAGCGUGGGGAGCAAACAGG